This 433-nucleotide ribosomal RNA is filed under the name uncultured bacterium. RNAcentral describes it as "partial 16S ribosomal RNA". It matches the Rfam family "Bacterial small subunit ribosomal RNA", at positions 28 to 507 of the family's 1533-position model. The record is from RNAcentral.
GACGAACGCUGGCGGCAUGCCUAACACAUGCAAGUCGAACGAGACCUCCGGGCCUAUUGGCGCUCGUCGGCGUAACGCGUGGGAACCUGCCCUUAGGUUCGGUAUAACUCCCCGUGAGGGGUCCUAAUACCGGAUAAUGUCUUCGGACCUAAGAUUUAUCGCCUUUGGAUGGGCCCGCGUUGGAUUAGCUAGUUGGUAGUGUAAAAGCCUACCAUGGCGACGAUCCAUGGCUGGUCGGAGAGGAUGAUCAGUCACACUGGGACUGAGACACGGCCCAGACUCCUACGCGAGGGAGCAGUGGGGAAUAUAGUACAAUGGGCGAAAGUCUGACCAAGCCAUGCCGGGGGAGUGAUGCAGGGCGUAGGGUUGCAAAGCUCCUUUAGCCGGGACGAUAAUGACAGUAACGGGAGAAGAAGCACCGGCUAACUACGUG